This 253-nucleotide ribosomal RNA is filed under the name uncultured bacterium. Its description in RNAcentral is "partial 16S ribosomal RNA". It matches the Rfam family "Bacterial small subunit ribosomal RNA", at positions 524 to 776 of the family's 1533-position model. The record is from RNAcentral.
UACGUAGGUGGCGAGCGCUGUCCGGAAUUACUGGGUGUAAAGGGCGUGUAGGCGGGAAUGCAAGUCAGAUGUGAAAUGCCGGGGCUUAACCUCGGAGCUGCAUCUGAAACUGUGUUUCUUGAGGGUCGGAGAGGAAAGCGGAAUUCCCAGUGUAGCGGUGAAAUGCGUAGAUAUUGGGCGGAACACCAGUGGCGAAGGCGGCUUUCUGGACGAUAACUGACGCUGAGGCGAGAACGCGUGGGGAGCAAACAGG